This 345-nucleotide ribosomal RNA is filed under the name uncultured bacterium. RNAcentral's name for it is "partial 16S ribosomal RNA". It matches the Rfam family "Bacterial small subunit ribosomal RNA", at positions 346 to 690 of the family's 1533-position model. The record is from RNAcentral.
AGGAAGGGGGCGGGCGACAUGAGUACUGUGGGAAGCUGAUCAGCAUGCCGCGUGAGUGAGAAGGCCUUCGGGUUGUAAGCUCUUUUGUCCGGAAAGAAAUGACGGUUCCACUACAAUAAGCCCAUGACUGUUCCGUACCAACAACCGCCGUAAUACUAAGGGCGCUAGCGUUGCUCAAAAUCUAUGGGCCUAACGUUAAUCUAAGUUACUCUUCUAAUAACGUGUGAAAUCCGGUUGCUCAACCCCAGGUGAGCUUCUCAGGCUGAACAUGGUAACUUCAUUAGAGAUUGUUGGGCUUGUGUAUGGCAGAGUGGGGUACAUUUCUAUGUGUAUUAUUAAAAUUUG